AUUGAACGCUGGCGGAAUGCUUUACACAUGCAAGUCGAACGGCAGCACGGACUUCGGUCUGGUGGCGAGUGGCGAACGGGUGAGUAAUGUAUCGGAACGUGCCCAGUCGUGGGGGAUAACGUAGUGAAAAUUACGCUAAUACCGCAUACGAUCUAUGGAUGAAAGCGGGGGAUCGCAAGACCUCGCGCGUUUGGAGCGGCCGAUAUCAGAUUAGGUAGUUGGUGGGGUAAAGGCCCACCAAGCCAACGAUCUGUAGCUGGUCUGAGAGGACGACCAGCCACACUGGAACUGAGACACGGUCCGGACUCCUACGGGAGGCAGCAGUGGGGAAUUUUGGACAAUGGGCGAAAGCCUGAUCCAGCCAUUCCGCGUGCAGGAUGAAGGCCCUCGGGUUGUAAACUGCUUUUGUACAGAACGAAAAGGUUUCUACUAAUACUAGGAGCUCAUGACGGUACUGUAAGAAUAAGCACCGGCUAACUACGUGCCAGCAGCCGCAGUAA
RNAcentral lists this ribosomal RNA (500 nucleotides) under uncultured bacterium. Its description in RNAcentral is "partial 16S ribosomal RNA". It matches the Rfam family "Bacterial small subunit ribosomal RNA", at positions 30 to 523 of the family's 1533-position model. The record is from RNAcentral.